GGGAACAUAACACAAUCCACUAAGCAUAACAUUUUUGUAGUUAGUUUUGCAAUACAAUCAACAACUUUGUUACAAGACUUGGGAAUACAUCUGAAACAAGUAUUAAAAGGACUGGUUAAAUAAAAAUCUCAGCUUCAACUUCACGAGAUUUCCAAUACAAUGAAAGGUCAUCUUUAAAAGAAGUGAUCAGAUCGUUGCUGUCAAUUUCAAACACCACAUCACUCCACUUUCUUCUUGCAAUCAAUGAAGCUACAAGACGAACCGCUAAAUCUUCUGCAACCUGAACAGAAGGGGUAAUAAGAAUAGCAUUUGCAUAUUCGAUAUGUUGGAAAAUGUCCCCAAAUUGUAGUAAACAUGUAACUGCUUUCUAUGUAUUUGAACAAUGAAUAAAUAAAUAAAGUUAAUUUCACAUUUCAUUACUAUAUCUUUUUUGUUUUUGUCUUUCAUGUUUCACAUACAUAGCAAAAUUGUGACAAGAAAAUUUUAGCUCAUUGAUUUUCUAAGUUCAAACUGAUGAUAAGUGGCACUGCAAGAACGUUUACAUUACGAGAAAGACAACUUACUUCAGUAGAUAAUCUAAACGAGUCUAUAGUCUCGUAAAAGAAUCAAAGUAAGCAUUUGAUACAAAUAUUUAGAAGGAUUAUUAUGUCGCCUAAAAUUUCAAUUGGGGAGAUAGCUAGUCUUGGCUAUCGGAGUAGUUGACUCCACAGAUAGAGACAUAGAUGUAAUUAUUGGAGGAAUAAUACAUUGGACUAGGCCCAAGAUGAAUUAAUUCUGAAUCCGUUUGUGAAUUAAUUCACUUGUGACGUUCAUGGUGUGAUUUACCUAAAUCCUGAGUUAGUCACUGACCAUGCGUAUGCAACUCAUGUGUUUUGAUAUUAGUGGAGGCUUAUGCUCUAAAGAUGAUUGAGCCCAUAGCCGGUAUGUUAGGUACAUGACUUGUGUAUGACAUGACUUCACUAGAAACAGUGGAAUUCAUAGCUCGAUUAAAAAGUUAAUGAUAUCUUCUCAUUGACAUUGUGUGGAUUGAUAAAUAUGGAACGUGGCCACGAGUUGUCACAAUCAUUUGUUGACAAUGAUCAUAUUAAUCAUUAAGAAUACACAAUGAUGAAAAUCAGAUAAAAUAGGAUUAUAUUGAGUGAAUGAAUUUAACUCAAAAGAAUCAAAGAUAUUGUAUGAGGGUAACAUACACAUGACAAGGUAAUUGGACAAAGCAGUUGGAUGAAUUGCUUUCGUAAAGAGUAUACAAUAAGGAGUUUUCAAUCAUGGUACUUCUUGUGGACUGGCUCUAUGGUUAAGUAAAUUACAAAUUCUUGGAACGAUGCUUCUGGACAUAAUUGUAAUUACUAGAGCCUAAAUGUAUAUGUGCGAUUGGUAACACCGCUAUCUCCAUGAAAGCUUGAUCGGACUGCAUUUGAAUCAGGAGAAAAUUCUACGACUUUAGAAAUAAUUUAAUUGAGUUGAUUUAUUCGAUAUGGAAUUAAAUUAGGCAAUCGUGAGAAUUUUUCAAGUAGAGAAUUUGAUUAAAGAAUUUUAUUAAAAAAUUAAUUUUGGAAAAUUUCAGUGAUUUUUGAGAAAAUUAAUUUUGAUCAAAUAAAAUUAAAUUAAUCGAAUUAAAUAAAAUUAAUAUAAUAUUUUUAAAAAUUAAUUUUCAAGUCAGGCAAUUGGCCCAAUGGGUAAUUGAACUUGAAAAUUGGACCUAAGAUCGAAAAUUAGUCCCGAGAACCCAAAAUUGAGACUGAGACCCAAAAACUAGUCAAGCUAGACCUCGUAUGUGAAACCAGGCCAACAGUCCAACCGGUGGUAAGAUCAGACCAGUUAGGCCAUCACUAGGCUCGGACUGAACCGAGAACAAUUGAACCAGCUCGAGGUGUCGCACCUAUGAUGGCACCACCGGGCACAACAAUACCGACGACGGCGACGAUGACAUUCCAGUGGCCAAUGAUUUGUCCUUUGACGGAUGAGCAGUGGAAGAAUCACACUCCUAUUAGGAUUCUACCGGAUUAUUUGAUUUCUAAUUAACUAUUUCAAAAAUAAUAUUAUUUUAAUAAUUUUAAUAAUAAUUUUAAUUUAAUACGUAUCUUGAUAGUAUUUUAUUAAUUUAAUAUUGAAGUGAUUAUCUUAAUAUUAAAUUAAAUUUAAUAUUUAUUUUGUAGAUAAAUAUUAUUUUAAUUAAAUAGAUUUAAUAUUAAAUUUAAUCUAAUAUUUAUCUUGAUAACUAUUAUAUUAAUUUAAUAUUAAAGUGAUUAAGUUUAAUAAUAGUUGAACUCUCUAAGCUCUCUCUAUAUAAAAAGAGCCACAAGUAAUUAUUUUUCACACAUUUGAAUUUAAGAGAAAGUUGUAGAGAGAAAAUUCUCUUAAGAAAUUAUUUCAGAAGAUUUCUAAAUAUAUAUUUCUUAUUUACAACUUGACAUAGAAGUUGAGAGAAACUGCAAAAUUACCUUACUAGUAAUUUUGUGAAAACUUUUCUGAUUCAAAGCGAGCCCAUAAUCAGAAGACGUGAGCUUGAGGAUAACGGAGAAGACUACUCAGUUGAAGCGUUCAUCCUAAAUGAAUCAAAAGGUUUAAUUUUAAUUAAGUAUUUAUUAAUUUAGAUAUUACAACAAAGUUCUUAUUUUUGGAAAAUUUUUAAAACUCUAGUUUUUCCCUUAAACUUAUUUUUCGCUAUGUUUUCCAAACCCGAUUUUCCUACACAAUAAUCAUCGCAUUUUAAUCCCUGGAUAUGGUAGUUGUCCUUGCUAUCUUUAUUUAGGAGCACCGAGAUGCGUCAAAAUUAAUUUUAAUACCACCUUAGCCAGGGGAUAUCUAUUAAGAGGUAGAAAUGGCUGACAACAGUCUACGAACUUCCAAAGUCAAGUUUAAUUCUUCAGCUUCUUUUAUAGCUUUGUGCCAAAUGUUUAAAGGAUUUUCUUUGGUACCUUCAAAGAUCAACUGAUUUCUAGUAUUCCAUAAGUUUCAACAAAUAUAGGCCAACAACCCCACAUGUUUGGUCCACCAAAGGUAUACUUCAAGAAGAGAUGUGCUGGAGAGUUGGCACUAGUACAAACAAUCCAGUUAGACUCUGCAUGGCUACCUAGUUCGGUUGAUUUCAGAGUUGCAAGAAAUGACAAUUUGAUGGUGGCAGAUCUGAUCUAUGAAGAUUCAAGGCAGUGGAAAGGGACAUAAUAGAAAAUGCAUUUGACGAGGUAGAUGCCAAUAGGAUCAUGGCCAUCCCUCUGGCGAAGACCCCAUAUACUGAUUUUUUAAUUUGGCGAGGUGAACCCACUGGUGUUUUUUCUGAUCGUAGUGCCUACAAAUAGAUUUUAUAGAAAUUUGCUAGUUUGAAACAAUUACAAGACCAGGCAAAUUACAGUCAAUUUUACAAGCAACUAUGAGAUUUAAAUUUGCCUUCCAAAUUAAAAAUUACAAUAUGGAGGAGCUCAAAAUUUUUUAUCCCUAGUAUUAGUAAUCUUCACUAUAAAAGAUUGACGAGUAGUACUGCAUGCCCAAAAUGUAGAGAGAUGGUUGAGUCCAGAAAGUAUAUAUUCAAAGACUGUGCUACGACAAAAGACAUAUGGCAGUGGAUAAAAUGUGCAUGACCAAUUGAACUAGAAAGAACGAGAUUCAUGGAGUGGAUUACCUGGCUCUUUGCUAAUAAUCCUACUCGGCAGUGUCGUUUUAUUGCAUGUGUGAUUUGGGCGCUAUGGACUGAUAGAAAUAAAUGGGUUCAUAAACGAAAAAGAAGAUCAAGGGUUGAACUAGAUAGAUUAGUGAAAGAUUACAUUACAGAGUUGGCUGGGCUAGAGAAUGCCCUACCUAGGCCAACUUUGAGGCAAAAUAGCAAGAAACUGCCAGUAGAUCCAUUAGUCAGAAUCAAUGUGGAUGUUGCAUAUAAAACUGGAAAACAAGUCCUGUUCAGGCAUAGUGAUAAGGAUUUUCGGGGAAGUAUAGUGGGUUCAAAAGCAGUGCUAAAUAAAAAUGUACCUUCUCUAUUUGCAGUUGAAGCGCUGGCAUGCGCACAAGCGAUGCAGUUGGGUCUAGAUAUGGGGCUAUAGAUUGUCGAGAUAGAAGGAGAUGCAUUAACAAUUAUUAGAAAAUUUUAGAGGAAAAUAGAAGAUAAAUCAUAAAUUCAUGCUAACAUCAAAUAUUGUUUUUGUUUACAAAGAGGUUUUUGGAUCUGUCAUUUCAAGCAUGGAUAUAGGGCUGUAACAAAGUAGUACAUCUGUUGGCUACAGAAGGAAUUAAGAGAGGAGAACAGUGGGAUAUGGAAUAUACAACACCUGAAGAAGUAGCAAUAUAGCAAUGGAUGUGGCGAAGGAUUGUCAAAGGUUCUUAGCUUCCAGUAUUGGAGAAGAUUGGAUCUGAAAGAUCGAAAUCAGAUAAGAUGGAGAGAUGAGGGAGAGGCAGAUGAAAGGGUGAAAGCAUUUCAGAUGGGUGUUUUUAUUAUUGUUAUUUCCAAACAAAAAAUUCAAGAGUCGAGGUAGUUUAUUAAUUGUUGUUGCAAUUGGGUAGAAGAUUCUAGAGCACACUCCUUUGGUUGGUUGUUG
Molecule: long non-coding RNA, 4526 nt
Filed under: Gossypium barbadense (sea-island cotton)
Lineage: Eukaryota; Viridiplantae; Streptophyta; Magnoliopsida; Malvales; Malvaceae
Description: long non-coding RNA (GBAR_LNC022528)
Source: RNAcentral